UACAGAGGUCUCAAGCGUUGUUCGGAUUCAUUGGGCGUAAAGGGUGUGUAGGUGGCGCGCUAAGUCGGGUGUGAAAUUUCGGAGCUUAACUCCGAAACUGCAUUCGAUACUGGCGUGCUUGAGGACUGGAGAGGAGACUGGAAUUCAUGGUGUAGCAGUGAAAUGCGUAGAGAUCAUGAGGAAGACCAGUGGCGAAGGCGGGUCUCUGGACAGUUACUGACACUGAGACACGAAAGCCAGGGGAGCAAACGGG
RNAcentral lists this ribosomal RNA (253 nucleotides) under uncultured bacterium. Its description in RNAcentral is "partial 16S ribosomal RNA". It matches the Rfam family "Bacterial small subunit ribosomal RNA", at positions 524 to 776 of the family's 1533-position model. The record is from RNAcentral.